Molecule: ribosomal RNA, 254 nt
Filed under: uncultured bacterium
Lineage: Bacteria
Description: partial 16S ribosomal RNA
Rfam family: Bacterial small subunit ribosomal RNA
Source: RNAcentral
CACGUAGGGGGCGAGCGUUGUCCGGAUUUAUUGGGCGUAAAGAGCUCGUAGGCGGCUCAGUAAGUCGGGUGUGAAAACUCCAGGCUCAACCUGGAGACGCCACCUGAUACUGCUGUGGCUAGAGUCCGGUAGGGGAGCAUGGAAUUCCUGGUGUAGCGGUGAAAUGCGCAGAUAUCAGGAGGAACACCAGUGGCGAAGGCGGUGCGCUGGGCCGGAACUGACGCUGAGGAGCGAAAGCGUGGGGAGCAAACAGG